AUGCUCGUUCAUGGCAAUCAAACCGGCUUCAUUUCUGGUAGAAACAUCGCUGAAAACUUUGUCUUCGCAGCCGAUCUCAUUAGCUCUUGCCACUCUCGCAAAAAACCUACCAUGGUAUUCAAGUUGGACUUCCGAAAAGCUUUCGACUCUGUCGCAUGGCCUGCGCUACAAAAAAUUCUGGCUGUGCGGGGUUUCUCCUCCACCUUCUGCCGGUGGAUCCAAAACAUCCUCCUCACCGGCAAAACGGCCAUUCUCCUGAACGGGGUUCCGGGCAAAUGGAUCCAAUGCAAAAAUGGUUUGAGGCAGGGCGACCCAGUCUCUCCCUAUCUCUUUCUUAUCGUCGCUGAUCUCCUUCAACAGCUCAUCCUCCAAAACUCAGACUCUACACUCCACCAUCCCAUCUUCUCCCACCUGCCUCCCACUGUCCUCCAAUACGCCGAUGACACGCUCAUCGUUGCAGCUGCCUCCUCUACAGCCGCCUCAACCCUCAAAAACAUCCUAAACACCUUUGCACUUGCCACCGGUCUCACCAUCAACUUUGCUAAGACUACCCUAGCCACCCUACACACCGACGAAACCACGUCUACUAACAUCGCCCUGGCCAUGGGAUGCUCUUGCGCCUCCUUCCCGCAAGCCUAUCUAGGACUCCCCCUCGCCCCCACCAGACACCUCACUAAUAUCUUCAAUCCUCUGCUAGAACGAGCUAGGAAACUACUUAUGGCUGGCGUGCCAAGCUUCUCGAUAAAGGUGAUCGGCUCAUCCUCAUCUCUUUUGUCCUGGACUCAAUCCUUGUUUAUUUCAUGUCUGUGUUCCGUAUCCCAAAGAAAACAAUCAAAACUCUGGACUCGCUGA
This 852-nucleotide ribosomal RNA is filed under the name Triticum aestivum (bread wheat). RNAcentral's name for it is "partial small subunit ribosomal RNA". The record is from RNAcentral. Lineage: Eukaryota; Viridiplantae; Streptophyta; Magnoliopsida; Poales; Poaceae.